ACAGGAUCUUGCUGUGUGGCCCAAGCUGUCCUGGAAUUCCUAAGACUCAAGCAAUCCUCCUGCCUCAGACUUCCUAGUAGCUGGCACUAAAGUGAGGUCUCAGGGCUCUAUCUUCCUUUUAUAAGAAAUGAAGUUAAAUUACUUGCCCAGACUGUUGGCGAAAGAGCUGGGAUUAAGACCCAAGUAUUCUGACUGCUAACCCAUGGGCAAGCUGAUACAAUGGGAGCUCUGCUGGCCAGGCAAAUGAUAAUGCCAGGUCCCAAAAGGCAAGAUUCUGUGAGCAACGCCUCCAGGUGUGAGCAAGUUCCAAGUAACCUCUUGAAAAAGUGUGCACCCUGGUCUGCCGCCACUUGGUAGUGGGGACUUAAGGAACAAUCUCAAGAGGGAAGCAGUCUCCACUUCCUGUCACUUUACCUAUAAUUCAUCUACCUCAAGCUCAUCAGACACUACCAAAUGUGGAGCUGGAGCUGGAGCUGGAGCAAGAAGGUAAGAGGCCAGCAGAGUAGACUGACAGCUGGCUGCCUCUAUGAAAUCCACAUUCACUGAAUCUACAGAACCUCCCUCUGCCCCAAAGCUUCUCUCAUUCUUUUUCUUUUCCUUGGUUUUCCUCUUCCAUUUGCCCAGUAUUACUCCAACCUGCUUUCCCUUGACCCCUAAAUCUGUCAGUUCUUAGCCCAAACCUACUUUCAAAAGCCAAUAAGUAAAUCAAACCCUUCUCACUCCCACAGCCACC
This 733-nucleotide long non-coding RNA is filed under the name Marmota monax (woodchuck). Lineage: Eukaryota; Metazoa; Chordata; Mammalia; Rodentia; Sciuridae. The record is from RNAcentral.